RNAcentral lists this ribosomal RNA (897 nucleotides) under uncultured bacterium. RNAcentral's name for it is "bacterial SSU rRNA". It matches the Rfam family "Bacterial small subunit ribosomal RNA", at positions 8 to 882 of the family's 1533-position model. The record is from RNAcentral.
AGAGUUUGAUCCUGGCUCAGGACGAACGCUGGCGGCGUGCUUAACACAUGCAAGUCGAACGGAGAACUUUCUUCGGAAUGUUCUUAGUGGCGGACGGGUGAGUAACGCGUAGGCAACCUGCCCUCUGGUUGGGGACAACACUCCGAAAGGGAUGCUAAUACCGAAUGUAAUCCUUCUUUCGCAUGAAGGAAGGAUGAAAGAUGGCCUCUACUUGUAAGCUAUCGCCAGAAGAUGGGCCUGCGUCUGAUUAGCUGGUAGGUGGGGUAACGGCUCACCUAGGCGAUGAUCAGUAGCCGGUCUGAGAGGAUGAACGGCCACAUUGGGACUGAGACACGGCCCAAACUCCUACGGGAGGCAGCAGUGGGGAAUCUUCCGCAAUGGACGAAAGUCUGACGGAGCAACGCCGCGUGAGUGAUGAAGGUCUUCGGAUUGUAAAACUCUGUUGUCAGGGACGAAUGCACCGAUCUAUAAUACAUUUUGGUGUUGACGGUACCUGACGAGGAAGCCACGGCUAACUACGUGCCAGCAGCCGCGGUAAUACGUAGGUGGCAAGCGUUGUCCGGAAUUAUUGGGCGUAAAGAGCAUGUAGGCGGGCUUUUAAGUCCGACGUGAAAAUGCGGGGCUUAACCCCGUAUGGCGUUGGAUACUGGGAGCCUUGAGUGCAGGAGAGGAAAGGGGAAUUCCCAGUGUAGCGGUGAAAUGCGUAGAUAUUGGGAGGAACACCAGUGGCGAAGGCGCCUUUCUGGACUGUGUCUGACGCUGAGAUGCGAAAGCCAGGGUAGCAAACGGGAUUAGAUACCCCGGUAGUCCUGGCCGUAAACGAUGGGUACUAGAUGUAGGAGGUAUCGACCCCUUCUGUGCCGGAGUUAACGCAAUAAGUACCCCGCCUGGGGACUA